GUCCCUGUAGCGAAAUAAAUUGCGUGUUGGACUUCAAAUCCAAAGGUCGUGGUUUCGAAUUCCUCCUGGGUUGGACU
This is a non-coding RNA of Trichonephila clavipes, 77 nucleotides long. The record is from the annotation of a GenBank genome assembly. NCBI's taxonomy places the organism in Eukaryota, Metazoa, Arthropoda, Arachnida, Araneae, Nephilidae.